CGUUUUUUUAUUUUUUACUUGAACAUCAUUUCUUAUUUUGUGAUAUUUAAUGGAAAUGACAUCCAUUAUAACCAAUAGCAAGUUUGAAACUAAGCUCCCUGCCAACCUCCCUACAGACUAUUUAUGACUUCAAUCUAUCUAUCUAUCUAUAUCUAGGAUAAGCAUUUGUAAUCAUAUUUGUCUGUGAAAUCUUCCAUUAAACUGAUGGCUUUUUAGCCGUAAAAAUGCAUCUUGACGAGGAGUUAUUUGCAGUUUGACUAAUUGCUUUUGUUGUUUCUUUUGUAGGCUUUGAAAAACCUGGCAAUGAAUUAUUCUGGCUGAGUUCUGUCGCUUAUCAAGCAAAAAUCUGAGUUGCAAUCAGAGUUCUUCAAAGAUCUCGACAAAUACACUCCUCGCUUCCUGGAGAAGUUCAAAACCCAGAGGGGGAAAGUGUCGGACAGAAACUUGAAUAUCUGCAACAAGUCACACCUGGGAGUACAGAUGUGACUGGGAGGUGAACAGCAGUCCUCCGUGGCUCUCCCGUCAUCCUUGGAGAUGACAACGCAGACUUCUUCAAGAAUUUGACUCUGAUGACCUUCUGGACGUGUCCCACACCUCCAUUGGGACCCUGACGGUGCUGAAGACAUCGUGGCCUCUCCUCAAUCGCUGGACCUGGAGUCUACAGCUACUGCCAUCGUUUUGGGAGGAGCAGUCGUGAUGGUGACCGUGAUAAUCUUCCCCGUGCCGUGUGGCUACUCUUCGGACUUAUUUACCCCUGAAUUUGGAGUAUCCUCAACUAGUGAGGAACACCUUCUGAAUUUAUUCAUAGAGUGCUUCUCACUUGGACCAAAAACCCUAAAAUACAAUCAUUCAAAAAUCUACUGAUGCCAUAAGGGACUGUGUUCAUGAUGUGCAGUCAGGCCCGAGAACUUCACCCUUCUAUCUCCAAUUGAACUCUUUUCUAGAAAAUGUCUGUUUUUGUUGUUUUUCUGUCGUGAAAUUUAGCAAAUGCCGAAAACGCUGUGUUCAUCAUAUUUCUGCGUUACAAAACCUAAUCUGGCAACAUGUUCAGCGUUUUAGGCACGUUGUUUGAGUUUUAAAACAUGUGUUUUUCUUCUAAAUAAACGUCUUCCAUUGUAA
Pseudoliparis swirei is the source of this 1119-nucleotide long non-coding RNA. RefSeq lists it as uncharacterized. Lineage: Eukaryota; Metazoa; Chordata; Actinopteri; Perciformes; Liparidae. The transcript is spliced from 4 exons. The record is from RefSeq and is a predicted model, not a curated record.